UUUUUUUUUGUUGACGCUACUGGUACCUCAAAAUAAUACAUCAAAUAUGGCUCAAUUGCACCAAAAAUUUGGAAUUUAAACUCAAUCUUAUAAAAAUACAACAAAAUACUCCCUCCAUCCCAAAAUAAGUGUCUCAACUUUUUACUAGCUCUAGUACAAAUUUGUACUAAGCUCAAGACACUUAUUUUGGGACAGAGGGAGUAGAUAAAAACAUGACAAAACUACAAACGGUACAUGAUAAAGAAAAGAAUACCAAAUCAAUGGUUUGCUUCAUCAGUGUCUUCCAUAACCUCAUCUAAAACCCCAGGUAUAGACACUUCCGUUGCGGCAGCAGCAACCGAUGAAAAAUAUAUAUUCAUCAUUUAUUUCUACAAAACAAACUGAAAUUGAUAUCAUCAUCAGCAACAACAACAAAAACAUUCGUAUUCAAAUACAAUUCGAAUGAAAUUGAAUUUUUGACAGCAGCAACAACCAUAAGCGGUACUCCAGUAGCAAACAAUCCCCUGGUAGCAAAUCCAAACAUUAUAGCAGGUCAAAAAAUGGUCAAUCUAUAAAAUUUUAACAACUGCAGCAGCCAUUACCAAUAGGCAGUAGCACACUUCACAUCCACAUAUUAGAUAGUUAGCAUAAAAAAUUGGUCAAUCUAUCCCCUGCCAAUAUCCCAUUCAUAAGCAUAGUAGAAGUUUGAGUAUUUGUUGAAAUUACCUGGCCACCUAGGCGGUAGACGGUGUGGAGGUAGGAUUGGUCCACUGGAGACCAAGAGAGGCCGGGGCAGAGCCGGUGUGCCGGGAGCAGAGCCAAGCAGGCGGACUAGGCCACCAGGCGAGCGGACGAGCGACAGAUAGGCGAGCGGAGGAGGGACCGGGGAGGCGAGGACGACCAGGGAACACCGGAGCAGAGGGGAGUCACCGGCGGGCGGCGACGGAUGCCUCGGCGCACUGGAGAACUCGCGUGCGUGGGCGUGGCUAGGUCUAGGCGACCUGGGUUGUGCGACUGCCAAGACGGAGAUGUUGUCCUAGGCCCUGGUUGUGUGUUGGGCUAAGCCCCAGGCCCGUUCAAAAAUUUGGCUAGAUAAUAGCUAGAAAAAAAAGCCACGCCCCGGGCCUGGGCCCUGGGGCCCAGAUCCGCCCCUGCUACACAUGCGGUAUUUAGACUUUGAUGCUUUGAAAAGUCAUAAGAUCCUCAAAGGAAAAAUUCAUGACUUCGCUUACAAUCUGUUGUUUAACCAAAUUUCUGUUGUGCACACAUAUUUGCUUGCGCCUGCUCUUUUUGACUAUCACAACGGAGGACGAUAUUUUGUUCUUGAGAGCGAGGUUUGAGCUCACAACGCAGCAGUGGAGGCAGCACGGCGGGCUGAGGCAUCAGAACCGAUGGCCUCCGUGAGCUACCACGCCGACUACCAUCCAGGCCAAAAGCCUAAGAUUGGGGGAGUAUGUAUUCCCACCGACAUUACAUUCAAGUUCGCACAUUUCAUUCCAGUUGUGGGUGUCCACACUUUUUCAUUGUAUCAUCCAUGUUUAAUUUAUUUUCUUGCUUUCUUCUUGUGUGUUUGAAAAACUUUGAGAAAAUCCCAAAAAUACGUUUCUUGCUUCUUUUUUAAUUUUCUUCCUAGUUUAAAUUGUUGUAGUACUAAAAAGAAAACCCAAAAAUAUUUCCUUGUUUUUCUUUUACUUGUUGGGAGCUUUCCCGUGUAAAUAGUUUUUCUCGUUUUUGCUUUUCCCUUUUCUUUUCGUUCGCUUGCCUUCGAAAAACCAAAAAACUACAAAAAUAUUUUAGUGUGUUUCUCUUAAUUUCUUUUUCUAUUAUCAUGUCAUACCGAGGAGAAGACCACGAUGAAAAUAUUGAGUGGCUCUCAUUUGCAUUAUUGUUGAUCUAACAAAGAGCUCAUAUUACCUUGUCUUUUCCUCUUGAAUAAAAUAUUUGCAGAUUCCAGCUUAGUCCACGACACUCUUGCACUUAUAUUAUUUUAAAUCGUUCGGUCGUGCAAGUGAAAGGCAAUAAUGACGAUAUUAGAUGAACUGGUCGUGGCAGAGAGAAAUGGGUAUGAACUUGACUUGUUUUGUUUUUGUAAAUAUGUUUAACCUAGUAUCCAUGAUUCAGCCUAUUAUAAUGAAACAUGUUUGUAAUGGCAAUUAAGGAUUAUAGUUUCUCAUGCCAUGCAUAAGUAGCUAGGAGUGAAUAAUGACUUAUCUUGGAUAUCAGCAUUGCGUUAAAAUGAUUGUGAUGUAGUAUGAUAAUAUGGUAUCCUCCUCUGAAUGUUCGAGUGGCUUGACUUGGCACAUGUUCAUGCAUGUAAUUGAAUCAAAAUCAACAUAGCAUCUAUGAUAUUUAUGUUCAUGGUGUUCAUAUCCUACUCAUGCUAGUAUCCAAUGUUACUUAUGCAUAAUGCAUGUUCAUGACCGUUGUUGCUCUCUAGAUGCCGUUUCUCAACCUAAUUGCUAGCCUUCGCCUGUACUAAGUGGGAACUCUACUUGUACAUCCAAAAACUUGAAACCCAAGUUAUUCCAGAUGAGUCCACCAUACCUGCCUAUAUGCGGCAUUACCCUGCCGUCCUAAGUAAAUUUGCAUGUGCCACCUCUAAAAACUUCAAAUAAAUAUCCUUUUUGUGUGCCUGGAUCGUUCAUGAAACGAUAGGAGGUAGUCGGUAUCUUCCAUGCUAAGCGGGUUAUUCUCAGGUUGAGUGUUUAUUCACUUGCCAUCACACGAGAAAAGGGCGGUAAUAGGGAUGCUCAGUCCCAAACUGCAAAAAGAAAAGAGCUUACAAAUAAUCAAACAAAAACUCCCAAUGGAGUCAUAACCUUUACCUUUCCGCUUGGGAACCGCCACUAGCGUGCUUAGCAUGAAAGAUAUUGAUAAUUGAUGGUCAUGAAGUAAAUGAGAAGGGUGCAUGUCUCAAAAUAUCAUUUACCUUUGUUUUAAAAACCUGAGCUCUGACACCUCUGCAAAUCACUGCUUCCCUCUGUGAAGGGACUGUCUAUUUACUUCUAUGUUGUGUCAUCACCUUCUCAAAUAAGCGCCAGAACAUGAGAGCACUGUUGUCAUGCUGAUGCAUUGUGUAUAGCUAAUGUUGGUGCAUCAUGACUGGAUCUUUUCUACCAUGAAUUACAAUGUUGAGUCAUUGCUUGAACUUUGGGGGUGCUCUGCAUUUAUGUUUUGCGGUCUCAGAAAGGGCUAGCGAGAUACCAGUAUUGUCAUAUUAUAUCAUGGUUGUUUUGACAACGUGUUGCUAUUUGAGAUAUCUUAUUAUUGUUCUCUAGUUGUUUAUGUCAUUGAUAUGAGUUAAAAUAAUUUUUAAAAGUUAUUGUCGACAUGGUUAGUUAUAAUCCUUGCUGAAAACCUGGGUGUUGUUUAAGCUUAUUUAUGAAACAAGAGCAAAAGAGUUCUUAAAAGUUUUUUCUUUUUCACUUUCAGUUUAUCAACUGAAUUGCUUGAGGACAAGCAAAGGUUUAAGCUUGAGGGAGUUGAUACGUCUCCAACAUAUCUAUUUUUUCUGACACUUUUACUCUUAUUUUGUACUCUAAUUUGCAUGAUUUGAAUGAAACUAACCCCGGACUGAUGAUGUUUUUAGCAGAACUACCAUGGUAUUAUUUUUAUGCAGAAAUAAAAGUUCUCGGAAUGGAACGAAACUUUGCGAGGAUUUUUUAUAUCAAAUAAGAGAAUUUCUGGAGCCAGGAGGUACCUGAGGGGGGCACCUGGGUGGGCACAGCUCAGCCCGGGCGUUCGGUCUUUUUGGUUUGUUCGGUCCGGUCUUUUCGGUCUUCUAAUAGUUCGGUCUUUCAUAAUUGAAGACCGAAAUAAUUUUGGUAUUUUUGGUUCUUAACUAUUCGGUCUUCGGUCUUUACAAUUCGGUCUUCGGUCCCGACCAAACAGACCAAAUUAAUUGCUACAACUCAGAUUCUUGAUACUUCCAGUACAAUUCUAUGUUUAUAUUUGACAGGAAAUAAGAAGAGUCAUAUCUGACACAAAGUAAGAAGAUUCAUGAUUCAUGGUCCAGCAGCAAGAUUCAUGUAUGCAUAUCAUUUAUAUUUGACACAAAGUAAGAAGAUAAAAAGCAAAAACAUUUACAUUUGACAGAAAGUGAGAAGAUAACAAGCAACACCACUUAUAUUUGACACAAAGUAAGAAGAUCACAAGCAACAACAGCCCAUGGAAUAUUGGAAUCAACAAGCAGCAAACAGCGGACCACCAUCACUUAGUACUUGAUAACAUAGUACUUGACAUCAAACAAAUCAAUUUCAGCACCACCAUGGACCUUGUGGUUUCCCUUCACCUGGUCCCCAAAUUCUUC
This 4288-nucleotide long non-coding RNA is filed under the name Triticum aestivum (bread wheat). RNAcentral's name for it is "long non-coding RNA (TAES_LNC007365)". Lineage: Eukaryota; Viridiplantae; Streptophyta; Magnoliopsida; Poales; Poaceae. The record is from RNAcentral.